CCAGCAGGAAGCUAUUGGGCUGGGAUUUGCUCAGACAUAUUUUUAGGCCUUCAUUUCCAUAUUCUAUGGCCCUAAUAAUUGCUCCACUAACUUCAUGUAUCAUGGAUAAAAAUGGACCCAAAGAAGUGCCACCAAAACUAGCAAGCUGAUGAUUAUUUAAUGAGGUAAAAAGCAACAUAUGCAGUGAGUUCACAGAAGGUAUAUGUGCCUAAAAGGUUACAGCAGCAAAAAGAGAAAAAAGUUUUUUUUUGAGUAAAACUGAAAGACAUAGAAAUUGAAAAGCCCAAAGUACUUGGCAAACAAUCUAGAGAAGUGAAUUGGCCAUAUUAUAUGGCAGAGUGAGGAGUAUAGCUCAAGAUGUCACCAUUCAACCACUCUGGCCUCCCUUCCAGCUGAUGAGUUCCAAGAGGAUUUACUGAAAUGAAGUCCACAUUUGCCUAAGGCGGACAGCAAAGUUUCUGGCUGGUUUAUGAGCGACUGUGUGCACAGUGGGAUAGGGUCGCACACACCAUGCUUCUAUCCAGUCACAGUAUUGUGGUACAGGGCUUUGGACACUGGGUCUCCAUGGGCCCCAAACAACAGAGCAGCAUGACAGAGAAAACGAUGCUGUGAGACAGGAAUGGGCCAGGGUUGGUGAACUUUGCAUCAUAAAAGAACUGGAGUCAAGAACAACCAAGAAUUGUAAAAGUGUUUUAAAUUUAUCUUGUGGUUUUCAUCUUCUGGGGUUUUAGAAUUUGGGGACUUUGGCUUUAUGAUUUCAACAUGUAGGACUCUGGCAUUUGGUUUGUAUCUUUGGGGAUUAUUGAAUCUCAACCUACUCUAACGGUGGCCUCC
Peromyscus maniculatus bairdii (prairie deer mouse) is the source of this 834-nucleotide long non-coding RNA. RefSeq lists it as uncharacterized. The record is from RefSeq and is a predicted model, not a curated record. Lineage: Eukaryota; Metazoa; Chordata; Mammalia; Rodentia; Cricetidae.